GGUUGGAUAGGCUCAGCGGAAGAGCAUCCACUUUGCAUGCAGAAAGUCCCAGGUUCAAGCCCUGGCAUCUCCAGUUA
This 77-nucleotide transfer RNA is filed under the name Sphaerodactylus townsendi. RNAcentral's name for it is "tRNA-Ala". Lineage: Eukaryota; Metazoa; Chordata; Lepidosauria; Squamata; Sphaerodactylidae. The record is from RNAcentral.